Long non-coding RNA from Strigops habroptila (Kakapo), 1076 nucleotides. RefSeq lists it as uncharacterized. NCBI's taxonomy places the organism in Eukaryota, Metazoa, Chordata, Aves, Psittaciformes, Psittacidae. The record is from RefSeq and is a predicted model, not a curated record. The transcript is spliced from 2 exons.
AAUGCUUUAUUCUUGUUUUCCUUAUGCUAAUUUCCAUAUUAAUUACCAAUCUCAUUAAUUCUUUCCUUCAGUCUAGUUUAACAAUGGGCUCUAUUGCUAGUUUCAAGUCAGAUUUCACUUCUUCAAGUACCAAACUAGAGUUCUAGUGGGUUUUUGAAGCCGUUUCUGGUGUGAAAACUAAUGGUAGGAUAUUUCUAAACUAAUUCUAUUUUCUGUAGUUGGGGCAUUGUCUCCUCAGUUGUGAAGUGGAAAUGCUCCUCCCUGUGGGGAAAGGGAAUUUGAGGAUAAGCUCUAGUGUCUAGUAAGUACUAUAAUAGUGCCCAGGCUUUCGCUUUUAAGAGAAUUUCUUAGAGGUGGUCUCUUACACAGGUAAAGAAUAUUGAGAUCAACAUAACGCCAGUGGGGAAGAACUUAAGCUGAUGCUUUCUGCCCUAAGUAAUUAUUGUUCUAGUGGGAGUCCUUUGUAUCCAAGUGGCUCUAAAGGAUAGGUUUCUGACCAUGACAGAAUCCUAAUUUCUGAUGGCAUUUAUGUUCAUGUUCUUCUUUCCAUGAUGGUAACUGAGUGGUGCUCUCUGUGAGGGAAUUUGAUGGUUAUCUGUACUGAGUUCUAGUUAGUUCAGAGAACUCUGGAUGAGGGCAUAGUACAAUUUUUUCACUUAGCUCUGUAGUCAAAGCAAUUGGCAUGAAAUGAUGUCGUUAUCCUUCCAAAGCUACAGUUCUCAUCCCCAUGAUCUUUUUGAUAUGGGAGGUAAGGGCGAGGAUUGAAACUUCCCUCUCCAGUUCUGUAGGAGACAUUACUCUUAAGAGGAAGUGCAUUAAAACAGUAACAAAAACCAAAACUACCUUUAUGUUUGUACAUCUUUGUAUCAUACUGGGUUCUUUGGCUCCUACCUCACUCCUACUACCUUUCCCUCGAGGAAGACGAUACAGCAUUUCUUGAAAUUGUUUACUGGCUGUCCUCAGUAAAGUAGUGUUUCACGUUGAAGAACUUUAAACAAAUAACUCCUUUCAGAAAUUUAUUCUCUUUUUCAAGACCCAUUUCUAUUCUUUCAUUAACCUCUUCUUGCAGUGAGAUU